GGAAGGGGACAGACUCCCCACGUGACUUCUGGGCCGGGCCGGGCGCGGGGCUGCCGGCUGGCUGACGCGGACAGAGGUGGAAAAGUCCCCGGAGAUGCCACGGGGCAGGCCGGGGCUGCCGGCCCCCGCUUCCCGGAGCGGCCCGAGCACUUCCCGGGCUCCCGGGAGGACUUAGAAAAUCACGGCGGGGUGGGGGGUGGGGGUCGCUGUCAAACCGAAACCAUGCACGUCAUCAGAGAAGGACCGUGACGACGGAGGAAUUGUCCGCAGUCUGUCAGGAAUUGUGUGCAGCCUGUCACUUCCGGCCCAGAGGGUCUUUCUAAGGCAGACGGACAGACAGAGCCCACAAGUCGUAGAGGAAAGGACCGAGCCGCUUGGCCGCGGAAAAGUUUACAACACAAAACGGCGGUGCACGUAUUUCCCUUCCAAAAAAGAAGAACGGGAAAGGAGAUGUUAAAGGAGGAGACUAGAAGUUAGAGAAAAGUAUCCUUUCG
Molecule: long non-coding RNA, 494 nt
Filed under: Equus asinus (donkey)
Lineage: Eukaryota; Metazoa; Chordata; Mammalia; Perissodactyla; Equidae
Description: lncRNA (ENSEASG00005036965.1)
Source: RNAcentral